This 343-nucleotide unclassified non-coding RNA is filed under the name soil metagenome. RNAcentral describes it as "partial contains 5.8S ribosomal RNA, internal transcribed spacer 2, and large subunit ribosomal RNA". The stretch from base 1 to 120 matches the Rfam family "5.8S ribosomal RNA", at positions 35 to 154 of the family's 154-position model. The record is from RNAcentral.
GAUGAAGAACGUAGCGAAAUGCGAUAAGUAAUGUGAAUUGCAGAAUUCAGUGAAUCAUCGAGUUUUUGAACGCUUAUUGCGCCCUCUGGUAUUCCGGGGGGCAUGCCUGUUCGAGCGUCAUUAAAUAACCCUCAAGCAUAGCUUGGUGUUGGGCUUUUUUACGUCCUUGACUGGGGUGGGCCUAAAAAUUAGUGGCGAUGGCUUUUUUACUUUCAAGCGUAGUAAAUCUCGUCUUGCUAAAGAGGAAAAAGAUUUUUUUUCUGCCAAAAAUUUUAACAUUUAAAGUUGACCUCGGAUCAGGUAGGAUUACCCGCUGAACUUAAGCAUAUCAAUAAGCGGAGGA